RNAcentral lists this ribosomal RNA (253 nucleotides) under uncultured bacterium. Its description in RNAcentral is "partial 16S ribosomal RNA". It matches the Rfam family "Bacterial small subunit ribosomal RNA", at positions 524 to 776 of the family's 1533-position model. The record is from RNAcentral.
UACGGAGGGAGCUAGCGUUGUUCGGAAUUACUGGGCGUAAAGCGCGCGUAGGCGGCUUUGUAAGUUAGAGGUGAAAGCCCGGAGCUCAACUCCGGAACUGCCUUUAAGACUGCAUCGCUUGAAUCCGGGAGAGGUGAGUGGAAUUCCGAGUGUAGAGGUGAAAUUCGUAGAUAUUCGGAAGAACACCAGUGGCGAAGGCGGCGUCCUGGCUCUGGUCUGACGUUCAGACACGACAGCAUGGGGAGCGAACGGG